RNAcentral lists this ribosomal RNA (494 nucleotides) under uncultured bacterium. Its description in RNAcentral is "partial 16S ribosomal RNA". It matches the Rfam family "Bacterial small subunit ribosomal RNA", at positions 28 to 507 of the family's 1533-position model. The record is from RNAcentral.
GACGAACGCUGGCGGCGUGCCUAAUACAUGCAAGUCGAGCGGACUUACAAAGCUUGCUUUUUAAGUUAGCGGCGGACGGGUGAGUAACACGUGGGCAACCUGCCUGUAAGACUGGGAUAACUUCGGGAAACCUGAGCUAAUACCGGAUAAUCCUUUUCUACUCAUGUAGAAAAGCUGAAAGACGGUUUACGCUGUCACUUACAGAUGGGCCCGCGGCGCAUUAGCUAGUUGGUGAGGUAACGGCUCACCAAGGCGACGAUGCGUAGCCGACCUGAGAGGGUGAUCGGCCACACUGGGACUGAGACACGGCCCAGACUCCUACGGGAGGCAGCAGUAGGGAAUCUUCCGCAAUGGACGAAAGUCUGACGGAGCAACGCCGCGUGAGUGAUGAAGGUUUUCGGAUCGUAAAACUCUGUUGUUAGGGAAGAACAAGUACGAGAGUAACUGCUCGUACCUUGACGGUACCUAACCAGAAAGCCACGGCUAACUACGUG